CUUCUAGUCCCACAGCGUCCGAUAUGGAAUCGCCAAUGCAAUUCUCUGACCCUGGUUUAGGGGUUAUCACUGUCGAAGAGGAUUAUACCCCAAAUCUUGCCUCGUUGAAAAAACUCUGGCUAGAUCCUAAGAAUAGGAUAAAAGUAGAUUGGUAUAGUACCACUUACUCUAAGAGUCAAAAAGCUCUUUUCGGAAAGCAAUGGAUUUCCGAUAUGAAACGUUUAAAGUGCGACAUAGAGUUCU
This 243-nucleotide long non-coding RNA is filed under the name Nicotiana benthamiana. Its description in RNAcentral is "long non-coding RNA (NBEN_LNC031863)". The record is from RNAcentral. Lineage: Eukaryota; Viridiplantae; Streptophyta; Magnoliopsida; Solanales; Solanaceae.